GACGAACGCUGGCGGCGUGCCUAAUACAUGCAAGUAGAACGCUGAAGGAGGAGCUUGCUUCUCUGGAUGAGUUGCGAACGGGUGAGUAACGCGUAGGUAACCUGCCUGGUAGCGGGGGAUAACUAUUGGAAACGAUAGCUAAUACCGCAUAAUAGUAGAUGUUGCAUGACAUUUGCUUAAAAGGUGCAAUUGCAUCACUACCAGAUGGACCUGCGUUGUAUUAGCUAGUUGGUGGGGUAACGGCUCACCAAGGCGACGAUACAUAGCCGACCUGAGAGGGUGAUCGGCCACACUGGGACGGAGACACGGCCCAGACUCCUACGGGAGGCAGCAGUAGGGAAUCUUCGGCAAUGGACGGAAGUCUGACCGAGCAACGCCGAGUGAGUGAAGAAGGUUUUCGGAUCGUAAAGCUCUGUUGUAAGAGAAGAACGAGUGUGAGAGUGGAAAGUUCACACUGUGACGGUAUCUUACCAGAAAGGGACGGCUAACUACGUG
RNAcentral lists this ribosomal RNA (495 nucleotides) under uncultured bacterium. Its description in RNAcentral is "partial 16S ribosomal RNA". It matches the Rfam family "Bacterial small subunit ribosomal RNA", at positions 28 to 507 of the family's 1533-position model. The record is from RNAcentral.